RNAcentral lists this ribosomal RNA (468 nucleotides) under uncultured bacterium. RNAcentral describes it as "partial 16S ribosomal RNA". It matches the Rfam family "Bacterial small subunit ribosomal RNA", at positions 28 to 507 of the family's 1533-position model. The record is from RNAcentral.
GACGAACGCUGGCGGCGUGCUUAACACAUGCAAGUCGAACGGAAAGGCCCUGCUUUUGUGGGGUGCUCGAGUGGCGAACGGGUGAGUAACACGUGAGUAACCUGCCCUUGACUUUGGGAUAACUUCAGGAAACUGGGGCUACUACCGGAUAGGAGCUCCUGCUGCAUGGUGGGGGUUGGAAAGUUUCGGCGGUUGGGGAUGGACUCGCGGCUUAUCAGCUUGUUGGUGGGGUAGUGGCUUACCAAGGCUUUGACGGGUAGCCGGCCUGAGAGGGUGACCGGCGACAUGGGGACUGAGAGACGGCCCAGACUCCUAUGGGAGGCAGCAGUGGGGAAUAUUGCACAAUGGGCGGAAGCCUGAUGCAGCAACGCUGCGGGCGGGAUGACGGCCUUCGGGUUGUAAACCGCUUUCGCCUGUGACGAAGCGGGAGUGACGGUAAUGGGUAAAGAAGCACCGGCUAACUACGUG